UACGUAGGGUGCAAGCGUUAAUCGGAAUUACUGGGCGUAAAGCGUGCGCAGGCGGUUAUGCAAGACAGAUGGGAAAUCCCCGGGCUCAACCUGGGAACUGCAUUUGUGACUGCAUGGCUAGAGUGCGGCAGAGGGGGAUGGAAUUCCGCGUGUAGCAGUGAAAUGCGUAGAUAUGCGGAGGAACACCGAUGGCGAAGGCAGGUCUCUGGGCUGACACUGACGCUCAUGCACGAAAGCGCGGGGAGCAAACAGG
This 253-nucleotide ribosomal RNA is filed under the name uncultured bacterium. Its description in RNAcentral is "partial 16S ribosomal RNA". It matches the Rfam family "Bacterial small subunit ribosomal RNA", at positions 524 to 776 of the family's 1533-position model. The record is from RNAcentral.